Molecule: long non-coding RNA, 3910 nt
Organism: Spinacia oleracea (spinach)
Lineage: Eukaryota; Viridiplantae; Streptophyta; Magnoliopsida; Caryophyllales; Amaranthaceae
Exons: 3
Source: RefSeq, a predicted model, not a curated record
GAGAUUUUAUACUUUUAACAGAUACAUGGAUAGACUAGUUUGAACUUAAUAAAUUUCUUUUUCUCCCUGUAAGCAGAGCCUAAUUAACCUUCAUGACUUGAGAUGGCAUAUCACCGGGCGCGCCAAAAUUGCUCGUCCUCUUCACAACUCACGACCCCUGGAAUCCAAGAUGAAAUCACGUUGGCUAACUGUGAUCAGCUAGUCAGAAUUAGAUUGAAAUAGGUUCAUGGUGCUUGGGUAACAAAGAGGAGCAACCUGUAGUAUUACAACCUUAUUGUCAGGAACACAAGCUGUCCAAAUUUCUGUGUAAAUCUGUCCAAUUCAGUAUUUCACUUUCAUCAUUUUAGAUAUGAAAUCCAGACAUAUACAAAUGUUGAUUGGUUUUGUCCGCUGUAUGGAGUCUUGCUUCUCUAUAUUGCCUAAGAUAGUAAAAGAAAGUUAGUUCCUAUAAUGCACUUUUAUUAAUUACUUUGUGGUUUUUUUUUCUUAGUUAUGUUGUGAAACAGUUAAGAGUCUAGCUGGCAAGUUCACUAGGAAAGCUCUAAUUUAGCAGUUCCUUUUUAGUCAGGAGGACUUUUCUAAAAGAUGGCUUCUAAUCAUCUUGCUUCCGGGCAAUGGUGUCAUUUCAAAGCGUUUGGUUGAAAGAUGAAGAAAACAAAUCAUCAACUAUACUAAAGGUCAUAUACAUAAUUGUCCAUGCUUUUAGUAGAAGCAGUCUUUAAUUGCAUCGUUUUCUGACAAAUCUCAUCCUUUAACUAGAUCAUUGUUGUUAUCUAGGCUCAUUACUAUCAGUGCUUCUGGGUUACUUGUUCCUUUCAAUGGUUGAUCUCUCUGCUCAAUCACAAGCAACAAACUAACAAUCUUGUGCUUUGUUUUGGGCCUUUUGGCAUUGCUGUUCAAUCAAUGUGUUAGAAUCCAACCUUCCUUGCAUCGUACUUUUCUUAUUUUCCCUUGUAUUGAUCUUAUCUAAACUUUCUAGGACUUUUUUUUUGAAGUUUCUAGGCUUUAGAUAAGAUUAUUAUGUUACUGUCAUUCCAGUGUUCACUGCCAGUUUUUAGCUAAUUCAAAAUAAUCCUCUAUGAGGGGUAUGACUCAAUACCUCUCACCAGAAGUUGCCUUUGCUUAAUCACUAGCGUUGGUUGUAUGCCUUUUUAGAUAUUGUGCUGUCGCUCGUUUUUAAGCUUUCUUGGCUCAACAAAGUCCCACAAACAGAUACACUCGCGUCGUCGGCCCCACUUGUGACUGCUAUGCUCACACAAGUGCCCGAUCGGCGCCCGCGUCCCUUUCUUGUCGCCAAAAGACAAGAGCGGUAAUUCUCAGAAACCUUGCUUGCUCGUGCUUCACGAGCCCCUUUGAACUCGUUCCGCACAAGGCUUGCGCCCCUACCGCUCACUAGGUACGAGCGUGCCGCACGAUCCGGUGCCCAAAACAUCCGGACCGUGACACAAUGGCUGUUUUUCUUCAACCAUCUGGUUUCUUUCCCCAGUGUAAUUAUAUUAGGAAAAGUUUUCCUAUAUGACACUAGCUAUAUUCCGGGUGCAGGAGUAUCUCCCUAGAGCGGGUUUACAUGUCAACCAACUGAACUAUAGUUUGGUAUGCCCAACCACUGUUGAUUCUGUCAGAUCCCCACCUGUCCAUCCAUCUUACCCUCCCCUCCCCUCCCAUCCUUGCCCAACCAUAUCCAGAAAAAAACUGAAAGAUCGAUUGGGGUUCGACAAAAAUUUAGCAGAUCCAAGUUUCCAACAUUCUGUUGUCUGUACAACCAGUGUACAUUGCACACUUGCUGGUACUGCUCCCUGCACCAAAAUAGUUGGUGUCAUAUAGGCCAAAAGUGCCUUUUUACCUUGUAUACUGUUCUGGAUAGUUGCAAGAUAUAAAAUUUUAAGCCAAAUGUUGAUUUCAAGGAUUCUAGUAUGUUUUCUUAUAAUGACAAAUCUUUGUUCUUCAACUGUCUUGUUUGUUGAAAUUAGAUGUUUCUGCAGGCUGAUUUUUUUAAUCGAUGAAAGUUCAUUCUGCAAACUGGGAUUAACUUUAUGUCAUCCUUGACUGUACAGAGUUCUAUCACGUUUUUUCUCUAAUAAGAAUACUGAAUAUUGAUACUCUUAUUGCUUCUGGCUGAUGAUAUUUUUUUUAUUUCCUUUGGCUUGUAAUCAAGAGAUUGAAUUCGUUGUCGACUUGCCAUUUCGGUACAUCUUUCAAGAUGACAAGAGUAAUAUGAACAUCAACAUGGACUGUGUAACACAAAUGGUGCUGAACUUGAACUUGGGAUAUGUCAUGCUGCCAUCAAUGUCCUACCUUCCCAUGUGCCAAUGAUUGAUGAGAUUGAAUUGGUUUGAAGCUUGUUACUCUUCAAAUUUUAUAUUUUUUCACAGUAACCACAGCUUGCAUUGCAUCAUUAAAGAUGAUUUAUUGAAUCUUUACAGCUUGGCUAAAAUGAAUUCUGAUCUUGCUUCUCUACUGAUCAAACUUUUUACCAGAUUUCUUACUCAAGCACUAGUUUACGUCUGUUAUGUGCUUUAGAAAAGUAUUGUUGAUGUCAAAUAAGCUGUUUUACGAGACCUUUCCAUGAGUUUCCAGAAUCAGAAUCAUUUGAUCAGCAUUCAUUUGCAUCUUAUUAACUUUUUCUCGUUAUGUGACGAUCUAAUGUGUGAUUGACUUGAUUAUCUGCUUAAUUAAGUAUUCUACAAUUGCUCAUUAUGUUUGUAGCUGUUGAAUGUUAAUUUAGGGAGUUUACUGGGUAAGAAUGUUUGGUCAUUAUGUUUGUAGCUGUUGAAUGUUGAUCCUGUGCUGUCACUUAUUUAAGGUCAAAUGUGAAAUGGAAAUGCAUUUUUAACUCUACGGUUUGCUCUGUACUAAUUUAUUUGCCAUAUUUGCCCAUAUCAUUGGAGACAAAUACUUGAAUACGAUCCUUCGAAUAUAUGUAAAGAAAUUUUGGAUCAAAAACCCUAGAAUACAGCCCUAGCCCUACUGGAUAAAAGCCCGAAACAACGGCGCAUCCUGGUUCAUGUUUUGUGGAUUCCUGGAAUGUGCCGGUGGGAGUAUCAUUCUUUAUGCUCUGAGGUGGUUGCAAUAGUUUGCGAACCUAAAAUCUUUGAAACUGUUACAUAGAUGAUACACAAUCAGAUUAUCAGAACAGCAUCUUUAAAAUAAGGAGUAUCAUUCUUUAUGCUCUGAGGCGCUUGCAAUAAUUUGAGCCUAAAAUAUUUGUAACUGUAUAUAGAUGAUACACAAUCAGAAGAGCAUCUUUGAAAAAUAUGCUGCAACUUUGUACAAUAUUUGCUUCUUUUUUUCGUUUCUAUUUACAGUCAAACAUGUAUAAUUCCAUUGAUUUUGAAAUUCUUGUGUUCAAACAUCUAGUCUGCAGAAAAUGAGGGGUUGCCAUCAGAGCAUGUUCUAAGAUAGACAACAGAUGCUUAUAACUGGUGAUAAGUUAUAAUCGUGCAGCGCCAGUCUAACAAUUGGCUUCUGCUGCAGGCAUGUUCUAAAGAGACUCAUGUCUGGUUUAAAGUGAAGGUUAUGCUGCAGGUACAUAACAUGAAGAACAAAUUCUUUUUUGGAAAGCCAAGUUUAUCUGAAUCAAGGGAAUUGAAUAGGAAAGAGAAAAACUGAUAGGGACUAGGGAGUUUUCAAACCCAGAAAGUGAAAUGUUUUUGGCUUUUUUGUGAUUGAUGACUAAUUAUUCUCUUAGAAUAUAUUUGAAAGAAAGUUGAUCUAUUUCAAAAUCUCCUAAACUUGAAGGUCCCCUCUUUGCAGCAGUCUAAAGUUGAGCUUGUGGGUUUUCCUCCCUAUUUCUGUUCUACCAUUAUGCUUUUUUACUUUGUUCUUGAUUCCUUGUGCCCCCCCUCUUUUCUUUGGAGGAAACCCCUAUCCAAUUUGUUUUUCCUACAAAGGAUUUGAUAUUAGUAUAGGU